This 56-nucleotide transfer RNA is filed under the name Clinacanthus nutans. RNAcentral describes it as "partial tRNA-His". Lineage: Eukaryota; Viridiplantae; Streptophyta; Magnoliopsida; Lamiales; Acanthaceae. The record is from RNAcentral.
UUUCGCGCAUGGUGGAUUCACAAUCCACUGCCUUGAUCCACUUGGCUACAUCCGCC